GACGAACCGUGCGAACGUUGUUCGGAAUCACUGGGCUUAAAGGGCGCGUAGGCGGGCCGCCAAGUUCGAGGUGAAAUCCUCUGGCUCAACCGGAGAACUGCCUCGAAUACUGGAGGCCUCGAGGCGGGUAGGGGCACGCGGAACUGUGGGUGGAGCGGUGAAAUGCGUUGAUAUCCACAGGAACUCCGGUGGCGAAGGCGGCGUGCUGGACCCGAUCUGACGCUGAGGCGCGAAAGCCAGGGGAGCAAACGGG
This 253-nucleotide ribosomal RNA is filed under the name uncultured bacterium. RNAcentral describes it as "partial 16S ribosomal RNA". It matches the Rfam family "Bacterial small subunit ribosomal RNA", at positions 524 to 776 of the family's 1533-position model. The record is from RNAcentral.